RNAcentral lists this ribosomal RNA (883 nucleotides) under Gonyaulax spinifera. Its description in RNAcentral is "eukaryotic LSU rRNA". The stretch from base 5 to 692 matches the Rfam family "Eukaryotic large subunit ribosomal RNA", at positions 24 to 664 of the family's 3401-position model. Lineage: Eukaryota; Dinophyceae; Gonyaulacales; Gonyaulacaceae. The record is from RNAcentral.
CAAACCUGCUGAAUUUAAGCAUAUAAGUAGGCAGAGGAAAAUAAACCAAACAGGAUUCUUUUAGUAAUGGCGAAUGACCAAGGACCAAAUCAUGUUCAAAGCAGGCAUUCGCCUUGCAAUGUGCAGUGGUUGUGAAAUGCAAGCAGAAAUGUGUGUGAUACUCUCUGGGGGGGUAGCAUAGUAGGUGAAACUCCUUCUGUGGAUGCAUCAAUUUCUGCAUAGAGCAUUCACCUCUGAGUCGUGCUUCUUGGGAUUGAAGUGUAAAUGUGGUGGUAAGGUUCAUCUAAAUUUAAAUAAUGGUUUGUGGCCAAUAGCAAACAAGUACCAUGAGGGAAUUGUGAAAAGAACUUUGAGAAGAGAGUUAAAAGGCCCUGAACCUACUGUGAGUGAAAGCAAAUGGGUGCUGCAUAAGAAGCAAGGUUGCAUUGAGCUGAAGGGUUGUGCCUGUGGCGACAUUGUGUUGCUGGCCAGCUCCAAGGUCAUUGUGUUCCUUGCUCAGUUUGCUGAUGGCGUGCCUUUGCACAUGUGCUGAAUUUUGGGAAUUGCAGACUUCAUGCUGCAUGCUUUUGGGGGGAUAUGGUGAAAGGCCACGAGGAAAUCAAACAUGCAUGUGCAACUCUAGCAACACUAGUGUUGUGUCAAUGUUUGGUUCAUUUUGCUGGGGGGGCCAUUUGACCCGUCUUGAAACACGGACCAAGGGAAACAUUUUCCUNUUUCCCAAUUAGAACCUUACCACCACCUACAUCCUUCUUACUCCAACCCCCCCUUCUAUACAACUAUAACGCCCCCACCAUUAGCACAAUCUAAAAGUAUCUCUUCCACUCUUAAACAUUUCCACUUACCCUCCAUUCUUACAACACUUUCUGCCUAAUGCCUACACCUG